AACCACACUAUCAACGAAUUGGUCCACCUGCGAGAUGACAUGGUUCUUUAUCUAUAUAUAUUUAGGAUGAGGCGUGUCAUCGUGAAUGUUCAACCUAGGAUGAAGCUCCCAAGUCCGCAUCCUAGGUGGAACAGCCACGUUAUCUCGCUGGUGGACCUGUUCAUUGAUAUGUAGUU
This 176-nucleotide microRNA precursor is filed under the name Oryza punctata. RNAcentral describes it as "pre miRNA MIR807". Lineage: Eukaryota; Viridiplantae; Streptophyta; Magnoliopsida; Poales; Poaceae. The record is from RNAcentral.